RNAcentral lists this ribosomal RNA (347 nucleotides) under uncultured Lachnospiraceae bacterium. Its description in RNAcentral is "bacterial SSU rRNA". It matches the Rfam family "Bacterial small subunit ribosomal RNA", at positions 28 to 339 of the family's 1533-position model. Lineage: Bacteria; Bacillati; Bacillota; Clostridia; Lachnospirales; Lachnospiraceae. The record is from RNAcentral.
GAUGAACGCUGGCGGCGUGCUUAACACAUGCAAGUCGAACGAAGCACCUCUAAUUGAAGAUUGACGAAGCUUGCUUCUGAUUGAUUCGCCUUGAGGUGACUGAGUGGCGGACGGGUGAGUAACGCGUGGGUAACCUACCCUAUACAGGGGGAUAACAGUUGGAAACAGCUGCUAAUACCGCAUAAGCGCACAGCUUCGCAUGAAGCAGUGUGAAAAACUCCGGUGGUAUAGGAUGGACCCGCGUCUGAUUAGCUAGUUGGUGAGGUAACGGCUCACCAAGGCGACGAUCAGUAGCCGACCUGAGAGGGUGACCGGCCACAUUGGGACUGAGACACGGCCCAAACUCC